Molecule: ribosomal RNA, 576 nt
Filed under: uncultured Nitrospiraceae bacterium
Lineage: Bacteria; Pseudomonadati; Nitrospirota; Nitrospiria; Nitrospirales; Nitrospiraceae
Description: partial 16S ribosomal RNA
Rfam family: Bacterial small subunit ribosomal RNA
Source: RNAcentral
ACUCYUACGGGAGGCAGCAGUGAGGAAUAUUGCGCAAUGGGCGAAAGCCUGACGCAGCGACGCCGCGUGGGGGAUGAAGGCCUUCGGGUUGUAAACCCCUUUCGGGAGGGAAGAUGGGACGGGUAACCGUUCGGACGGUACCUCCAGAAGCAGCCACGGCUAAYUYUGUGCCAGCAGCCGCSGYMMSMCMGAGGUGGCAAGCGUUGUUCGGAUUUACUGGGCGUAAAGGGUGCGUAGGUGGUUAGGUAAGACCUGUGGGAAAGACCUGGGCUUAACCCAGGAAGGUCSCAGGUGACUGCUUGGCUAGAGGGCGGGAGAGGAGAGCGGAAUUCCCGGUGUAGCGGUGAAAUGCGUAGAGAUCGGGAGGAAGGCCGGUGGCGAAGGCGGCUCUCUGGAACGUUCCUGACACUGAGGCACGAAAGCGUGGGGAGCAAACAGGAUUAGAUACCCUGGUAGUCCACGCCCUAAACGAUGGGUACUAAGUGUCGGCGGGUUACCGCCGGUGCCSCACCUAACGGAGUAAGUACCCCGCCUGGGGAGUACGGCCGCAAGGUUGAAACUCAAAUGAAUUGACGG